GAGCUUUAGCUCAAUUGGUUAGAGCAGCGGACUCAUAACCCGCGGGUUCCGGGUUCAAGUCCCGGAGGCUCC
RNAcentral lists this transfer RNA (72 nucleotides) under Fibrobacter succinogenes. It matches the Rfam family "tRNA". Rfam says of the family: Transfer RNA (tRNA) molecules are approximately 80 nucleotides in length. Their secondary structure includes four short double-helical elements and three loops (D, anti-codon, and T loops). Further hydrogen bonds mediate the characteristic L-shaped molecular structure. tRNAs have two regions of fundamental functional importance: the anti-codon, which is responsible for specific mRNA codon recognition, and the 3' end, to which the tRNAs corresponding amino acid is attached (by aminoacyl-tRNA synthetases). tRNAs cope with the degeneracy of the genetic code in two manners: having more than one tRNA (with a specific anti-codon) for a particular amino acid; and 'wobble' base-pairing, i.e. permitting non-standard base-pairing at the 3rd anti-codon position. Lineage: Bacteria; Pseudomonadati; Fibrobacterota; Fibrobacteria; Fibrobacterales; Fibrobacteraceae. The record is from RNAcentral. RNAcentral also lists the same sequence under 1 other name.